UUAAGCGACUAAGCGUACACGGUGGAUGCCCUGGCAGUCAGAGGCGAUGAAGGACGUGCUAAUCUGCGAUAAGCGUCGGUGAGGUGAUAUGAACCGUUAUAACCGGCGAUUUCCGAAUGGGGAAACCCAGUGUGUUUCGACACACUAUCAUUAACUGAAUCCAUAGGUUAAUGAGGCGAACCGGGGGAACUGAAACAUCUAAGUACCCCGAGGAAAAGAAAUCAACCGAGAUUCCCCCAGUAGCGGCGAGCGAACGGGGAGGAGCCCAGAGCCUGAAUCAGUGUGUGUGUUAGUGGAAGCGUCUGGAAAGGCGUGCGAUACAGGGUGACAGCCCCGUACACAAAAAUGCACAUAUUGUGAGCUCGAUGAGUAGGGCGGGACACGUGGUAUCCUGUCUGAAUAUGGGGGGACCAUCCUCCAAGGCUAAAUACUCCUGACUGACCGAUAGUGAACCAGUACCGUGAGGGAAAGGCGAAAAGAACCCCGGCGAGGGGAGUGAAAAAGAACCUGAAACCGUGUACGUACAAGCAGUGGGAGCCUCUUAAUGGGGUGACUGCGUACCUUUUGUAUAAUGGGUCAGCGACUUAUAUUCUGUAGCAAGGUUAACCGAAUAGGGGAGCCGAAGGGAAACCGAGUCUUAACUGGGCGUUAAGUUGCAGGGUAUAGACCCGAAACCCGGUGAUCUAGCCAUGGGCAGGUUGAAGGUUGGGUAACACUAACUGGAGGACCGAACCGACUAAUGUUGAAAAAUUAGCGGAUGACUUGUGGCUGGGGGUGAAAGGCCAAUCAAACCGGGAGAUAGCUGGUUCUCCCCGAAAGCUAUUUAGGUAGCGCCUCGUGAAUUCAUCUCCGGGGGUAGAGCACUGUUUCGGCAAGGGGGUCAUCCCGACUUACCAACCCGAUGCAAACUGCGAAUACCGGAGAAUGUUAUCACGGGAGACACACGGCGGGUGCUAACGUCCGUCGUGAAGAGGGAAACAACCCAGACCGCCAGCUAAGGUCCCAAAGUCAUGGUUAAGUGGGAAACGAUGUGGGAAGGCCCAGACAGCCAGGAUGUUGGCUUAGAAGCAGCCAUCAUUUAAAGAAAGCGUAAUAGCUCACUGGUCGAGUCGGCCUGCGCGGAAGAUGUAACGGGGCUAAACCAUGCACCGAAGCUGCGGCAGCGACACUAUGUGUUGUUGGGUAGGGGAGCGUUCUGUAAGCCUGUGAAGGUGGCCUGUGAGGGUUGCUGGAGGUAUCAGAAGUGCGAAUGCUGACAUAAGUAACGAUAAAGCGGGUGAAAAGCCCGCUCGCCGGAAGACCAAGGGUUCCUGUCCAACGUUAAUCGGGGCAGGGUGAGUCGACCCCUAAGGCGAGGCCGAAAGGCGUAGUCGAUGGGAAACAGGUUAAUAUUCCUGUACUUGGUGUUACUGCGAAGGGGGGACGGAGAAGGCUAUGUUGGCCGGGCGACGGUUGUCCCGGUUUAAGCGUGUAGGCUGGUUUUCCAGGCAAAUCCGGAAAACCAAGGCUGAGGCGUGAUGACGAGGCACUACGGUGCUGAAGCGACAAAUGCCCUGCUUCCAGGAAAAGCCUCUAAGCAUCAGGUAACAUCAAAUCGUACCCAAAACCGACACAGGUGGUCAGGUAGAGAAUACCAAGGCGCUUGAGAGAACUCGGGUGAAGGAACUAGGCAAAAUGGUGCCGUAACUUCGGGAGAAGGCACGCUGAUAUGUAGGUGAAGCGACUUGCUCGUGGAGCUGAAAUCAGUCGAAGAUACCAGCUGGCUGCAACUGUUUAUUAAAAACACAGCACUGUGCAAACACGAAAGUGGACGUAUACGGUGUGACGCCUGCCCGGUGCCGGAAGGUUAAUUGAUGGGGUUAGCGGCAACGCGAAGCUCUUGAUCGAAGCCCCGGUAAACGGCGGCCGUAACUAUAACGGUCCUAAGGUAGCGAAAUUCCUUGUCGGGUAAGUUCCGACCUGCACGAAUGGCGUAAUGAUGGCCAGGCUGUCUCCACCCGAGACUCAGUGAAAUUGAACUCGCUGUGAAGAUGCAGUGUACCCGCGGCAAGACGGAAAGACCCCGUGAACCUUUACUAUAGCUUGACACUGAACAUUGAGCCUUGAUGUGUAGGAUAGGUGGGAGGCUUUGAAGUGUGGACGCCAGUCUGCAUGGAGCCGACCUUGAAAUACCACCCUUUAAUGUUUGAUGUUCUAACGUUGGCCCGUAAUCCGGGUUGCGGACAGUGUCUGGUGGGUAGUUUGACUGGGGCGGUCUCCUCCUAAAGAGUAACGGAGGAGCACGAAGGUUGGCUAAUCCUGGUCGGACAUCAGGAGGUUAGUGCAAUGGCAUAAGCCAGCUUGACUGCGAGCGUGACGGCGCGAGCAGGUGCGAAAGCAGGUCAUAGUGAUCCGGUGGUUCUGAAUGGAAGGGCCAUCGCUCAACGGAUAAAAGGUACUCCGGGGAUAACAGGCUGAUACCGCCCAAGAGUUCAUAUCGACGGCGGUGUUUGGCACCUCGAUGUCGGCUCAUCACAUCCUGGGGCUGAAGUAGGUCCCAAGGGUAUGGCUGUUCGCCAUUUAAAGUGGUACGCGAGCUGGGUUUAGAACGUCGUGAGACAGUUCGGUCCCUAUCUGCCGUGGGCGCUGGAGAACUGAGGGGGGCUGCUCCUAGUACGAGAGGACCGGAGUGGACGCAUCACUGGUGUUCGGGUUGUCAUGCCAAUGGCACUGCCCGGUAGCUAAAUGCGGAAGAGAUAAGUGCUGAAAGCAUCUAAGCACGAAACUUGCCCCGAGAUGAGUUCUCCCUGACUCCUUGAGAGUCCUGAAGGAACGUUGAAGACGACGACGUUGAUAGGCCGGGUGUGUAAGCGCAGCGAUGCGUUGAGCUAACCGGUACUAAUGAACCGUGAGGCUUAACCUU
RNAcentral lists this ribosomal RNA (2902 nucleotides) under Escherichia coli KTE87. Its description in RNAcentral is "bacterial LSU rRNA". It matches the Rfam family "Bacterial large subunit ribosomal RNA". Lineage: Bacteria; Pseudomonadati; Pseudomonadota; Gammaproteobacteria; Enterobacterales; Enterobacteriaceae. RNAcentral also lists the same sequence under 1 other name. The record is from RNAcentral.